GUGACGGCGAAUGUGGGGGCGGCUCCCAACAGUCACCCAUCCAUUAGUGGCUCAUGUGUUCUUAAGACAAACUCAGCAGGCUGUACCUGUCCAGAGCUCCCUCACGAGAUUCUUGUGAAACAAAAGGAGCUCCUCUCUAGAAGAUCUUGAAAAGUCAAGUGUGGGGAGGCAACCGCAGAGCCCUACUUCCUGGAUGGGAAGACGGAUGCUGAGGAAGGUGCCGCCUUGUAACCAGAUGUUAUCCAUCCACACUGGACGGGAGGAAAUGAGCCUCAGGGGCCCUGGGAAUUCUGGCCAGAUUUAUAAGAACAUCUUCAAAUGUAGAAGCUUCAGAGUCCUUGGGAGUGUCCGCAGGAAUUGGUGAGCUCGGAAGGACCUCUCUGGAGUCCACCAAUAUCAAGUCGAUUGCCAAGCAUCCUGAUACUUACCUGUUUACUCAGCUGUCAGCUAUGUGCCAAGCGCAGAUACCCUUAAGUUGUAUGUGGCGGUUGUCAAUGUCUUCCCAAAGAAGAGACACACACCUGCUUGUUCACAGAGCUCUGCAAUCAGAUGAUGGGCGUGGACCAAAAGGAGUCUGCAGAACCAUCGAUAGCCUUCUGGGAGUCUUAUCAGAUGAGACUCAGUUCCGCUUCUGGACCCCUGACUCCUCCUCAGGGCCUUCUUUGGAAUCAUGGCAUGAUGACGUCCCUCGUCCUCAUCUCUUUGCCCUCAUACCCUCAUAUGAUCCUCUAUUAGACACGCCGAGGAGACUGACCUGCUUAUCCAUGCUACUUAUCAGGAACUGUGGAACCAUGGAGAACAUGACCCUGGCCCUCCCUUCAGGAUCUGCCUGAGAUCUGGCUGCCUCUUGAGACACUAGAGCCCUGGAUUCAAUUGCGGAACAUUAUGUUGGAGAAUAUAAACACUUCUAGACUGUGCCGGCAUUUGGGAAGGAAUAGUCUGUUUUGACUUGAAUGAACAAAGACAUACGUCUCUGGGCCUGGGGAAGGCUUACCAGCUCAGCUCAUCUACUGUCUGGUGGCAAACAUGUCCUGGGUACUGCCACUACCCAGGACACUCUUCCUCACUCUGUCCCUGUCCAGUUACCGCACCCUUCCCUGUCUGACCCCGCCUCCUGUGCCCACUCGCCUCUGGACCCAGAGAUUCUUCUUGUUUGCUCUAUCAUCCUUGAGCCGGAUACAGGGUGAAUAGUUAACCACACUUGGGUUGAAUGGGAUCUUGAUUCUUAUUUCUGUUCCUUGGAAAGAGGGGUCAGACUCGGUGCGUGGCACCCGGCCUGGAAGCAGCACAAGACUCCAGAGUGAUACAUGAUCUGCCUGGAUGGUCCCAGGGGCUCUUUGGAGGUCAGAGCAAGAGGAGCAGCCUGAGCAGGGGGGCUGAGGAGGGCCGGCACUGGAUCACACGCAGGCGUAUGUCUGGAUAGGCAGAGAGGAACCCACUUUUCAUUCCCUCUUCUGUGACACAAAUGCAAGGAACUUUGAAGACACUCUUCGGAGGUUGCAAUCGGAGAUCAGCUUAUCCAAGGGCUUCAUGUCUGAGCUCUGUUGGUCGUGCCUCCUGAGGACCUCUUUCCUCUACUGUAUGCUGAUGACACACCCAUCCGAUGGGAGCUGGAGCCUUGUCUGGUCCUUUCCUCUAUGACCCCACGUGUACAGUUGGAAAUCCUUCCUAAUCAUGCCUUGAUUCCCCCUUUUCGACUACACUCAAAGAUGUUUGAGCUGUUUUAUUUGCAAAAUGGAUGGACAGUUUGUUUAUAUAAAACAAUCCCAGCUUCCUUGUGCUCUAUCUGGUGUGUUUGUAUGGCUCUUCAGUGACUUUAAAGUGGAGCAUUGACCUUGGCCUCUUUGAUUCUCCAUGGUGGAAUAGAGAAGACCUCUUGAGGAUGCUUAAUGUUGCUGAGAUCUUAAGAAGGCUUGCAGACUUCCUCUUCCUCCCUCCUUCUCCCACCUCCUCCUUCCCUAAGCAGCCUCUGCAUUGUAUAAAUUCCUUUAUAUAAA
RNAcentral lists this long non-coding RNA (1997 nucleotides) under Mus musculus (house mouse). Its description in RNAcentral is "RIKEN cDNA 2610035D17 gene". The record is from RNAcentral. Lineage: Eukaryota; Metazoa; Chordata; Mammalia; Rodentia; Muridae.